Molecule: non-coding RNA, 1606 nt
Organism: Aegilops tauschii subsp. strangulata
Lineage: Eukaryota; Viridiplantae; Streptophyta; Magnoliopsida; Poales; Poaceae
Source: RefSeq, a predicted model, not a curated record
CCAAUAUCAUGGCAGCAGAACGGGCGACGACGGCACCCUCAUCCCUACCUCAUCGGAUACGCCACUAUCGCCAUCAACCAAAAGCCAUAUACCACCGACCGGUGGCCUGUUACCCACCGCUCCGUCACGCACACACGCACUAACCCCUCCGCACAAGCAAGGGCACCUCAGUCAGAUCUGGUGCAACACCACCACCGCCGCCAUCGGCCGACUAGGAUGGAACUUCUCUGCUGCAGGCCGCCCCCCUCCCCUCGGAUCCAGACGCACCAUCAAAUUCGCCGUCAAGAUGAGAAGAACUUGCCUCGGGACAGUGCCGCUACCCUACUGCCUCGAUGCGCCCAACCCCCGAUCACCUCCACCAUGACCAUAAUUUCCAGAGGCAUGGACAACGCCGGUUCUCGGACGAAUUUCCCCCGCCCCUGCGAAAUUGCCUCUUUAAACAGUGGAGGUGCAUCGAUCCCAUCGUCUACAACGAGGGCUUGGUAUCUCCAGCAAUCUCUCUUUCAUUAUUGACCUCAAAAUCACAUGUGUAGUAUCAUAGUUACAUUUACUGACGCAUACCACUAUGAUUAUUUAGCUGUUGUUGCAUAUCCAUUAUCUUUCUCCUGAAGUUCAGUAGUUACUUAUCUAAGAUAGAAAGGAGAAGAUUCGAUGUCAUGCCACUCAGGUAUCAAUAGUGUACCUAUAUUUUUUGACUCUUUGAGUGUUGUGUAACUUAGCUAUUAUGUGAGAUCAAAGGGAAUUAACUCCAGCAAAUUGAUACAAAGAUAAUUUCUGAGGUUGUGUGUUUUAUUUUCUGUUAGUUGUUACAGGCAAUUGAUUUUCACGGUUUGGCGCUGCUGGUCACAGUCUAUGACAGAAACAUUGGAUUAGAAAAAGGUGUUAUCUAGAACAUGUGUCAUUGUUGCCAGUUGGAAUCACAAACUAUGCUAAUGUUGCCAAUUUUGUCUUCAUUCACAGAUUUAGUCCUUUACUAGAUUCAAUGGUUCUAAAUCUAAGUUUCAGGGAUUUAUAAAGAGCAACAUUCAGGUUCGCAUAUACAGGUCAUAUAGAUAGUGAUCUAUUCCAGUCCUUGGCCAUGGAGUUCAUUCUUGCAUAUGUAGUGUGCUCUUAAAAGCAAUAUUUGAUGAUAUGUCCGACAUCACCUAAUAUUUUUGUGAACACUUGCUAGAUUAUAUGGUACAUUUGAGUUUAUGCAUUAUCUUAUUUUCUUCUAAUUUUGUAUAUUACAACAUAGUUAUCGCAAUGGUUCUGGGCUGGGAGUCAUGAAGAUCGCUGCCCCUAAAUGCAGCCUCUAGAAAGGCCACCAUGGAAAAGAGGUAGAUCUUCCAGCAAGAGAACUUCAUCUCAGUUUGUCAGAUGACAUAAACAUCAAUGUGAUAAUGAACAAGUAACACGGUUGUGAGUAUAAUCGGAACAAAAAUAUAUAGCAGGGAUGACAUGGUCAAGCACGCAUGUGAGCAGCUGCAAACUACACGUCUACCUAAAAUUAGUUAUAUUAUGGCUUAAAUCAAGAAUAAGUGAUCAUUACAUGUAUCAAGUACAAGUGUUAUCCAAAUUAACUCUCAUUAGUACUAUUGAUGAUCCUAUACAUAUAUUUGCACAA